GGAUUGAACGCUGGCGGCAGGCCUAACACAUGCAAGUCGAGCGGCAGCACGGGUACUUGUACCUGGUGGCGAGCGGCGGACGGGUGAGUAAUGCCUAGGAAUCUGCCUGGUAGUGGGGGAUAACGCUCGGAAACGGACGCUAAUACCGCAUACGUCCUACGGGAGAAAGCAGGGGACCUUCGGGCCUUGCGCUAUCAGAUGAGCCUAGGUCGGAUUAGCUAGUUGGUGGGGUAAUGGCUCACCAAGG
This 247-nucleotide ribosomal RNA is filed under the name uncultured soil bacterium. RNAcentral describes it as "partial 16S ribosomal RNA". It matches the Rfam family "Bacterial small subunit ribosomal RNA", at positions 27 to 273 of the family's 1533-position model. The record is from RNAcentral.